ACACCAGCUAAUUUGCUUAUCUGAGUGGUUCUGCAGAAAUUUACCAUGACUGGUAGUAAAGCUGCCAUGUCACAAGUCCUAAUACACAUCAGCCUUUAUGUUCUUGAGACUGGCUUUAGUA
Molecule: small nucleolar RNA, 121 nt
Filed under: Microtus ochrogaster (prairie vole)
Lineage: Eukaryota; Metazoa; Chordata; Mammalia; Rodentia; Cricetidae
Description: Small nucleolar RNA SNORA33 (ENSMOCG00000004562.1)
Source: RNAcentral